UUGCUGUGAUGAUACCCUCAACUUGUGGUUUCAACUUGCUGAGAGUUGAAUGAGGACAUUAAAUUCCUUGGCUGUGUCUGAGCAU
This 85-nucleotide small nucleolar RNA is filed under the name Fulmarus glacialis (Northern fulmar). RNAcentral describes it as "Small nucleolar RNA SNORD53/SNORD92". It matches the Rfam family "Small nucleolar RNA SNORD53/SNORD92". Rfam says of the family: U53 is a member of the C/D class of snoRNA which contain the C (UGAUGA) and D (CUGA) box motifs. Most of the members of the box C/D family function in directing site-specific 2'-O-methylation of substrate RNAs. The record is from Rfam by way of RNAcentral. Lineage: Eukaryota; Metazoa; Chordata; Aves; Procellariiformes; Procellariidae.